Molecule: ribosomal RNA, 496 nt
Filed under: uncultured bacterium
Lineage: Bacteria
Description: bacterial SSU rRNA
Rfam family: Bacterial small subunit ribosomal RNA
Source: RNAcentral
AUUGAACGCUGGCGGCAUGCCUUACACAUGCAAGUCGAACGGUAACAGCACUUCGGUGGCUGACGAGUGGCGAACGGGUGAGUAAUACAUCGGAACGUGCCCGAGAGUGGGGGAUAACGCAGCGAAAGCUGUGCUAAUACCGCAUACGAUCUACGGAUGAAAGCAGGGGACCGCAAGGCCUUGCGCUCAUGGAGCGGCCGAUGGCAGAUUAGGUAGUUGGUGGGAUAAAAGCUUACCAAGCCGACGAUCUGUAGCUGGUCUGAGAGGACGACCAGCCACACUGGGACUGAGACACGGCCCAGACUCCUACGGGAGGCAGCAGUGGGGAAUUUUGGACAAUGGGCGAAAGCCUGACCCAGCCAUGCCGCGUGCAGGAUGAAGGCCUUCGGGUUGUAACUAGCUUUUGUACGGUAACGAAAGGUACGUUUUACUUAAUAAAGAAGGACUCAUGACGGUACCGUAAGAAUAAAGCACCGGCUAACUACGUGCCAGCACG